UUGCUCCAGCAGCACAUAUACUAAAAUUAGAAUGAUACAGAGAAGAUUAUCAUGGCCCCUGUGCAAGGAUUACAUGCAAAUUCAUGAAGUGGUACAUAUUUAU
This 103-nucleotide small nuclear RNA is filed under the name Tupaia belangeri chinensis (Chinese tree shrew). The record is from RNAcentral. Lineage: Eukaryota; Metazoa; Chordata; Mammalia; Scandentia; Tupaiidae.